RNAcentral lists this ribosomal RNA (406 nucleotides) under uncultured bacterium. Its description in RNAcentral is "partial 16S ribosomal RNA". It matches the Rfam family "Bacterial small subunit ribosomal RNA", at positions 30 to 526 of the family's 1533-position model. The record is from RNAcentral.
AUUGAACGCUGGCGGCAGGCCUAACACAUGCAAGUCGAACGAGUGGCGGACGGGUGAGUAAUGACUGGGAAACUGCCUGAUGGAGGGGGAGAGCUACUGGAAACGGUAGCUACUAACGCCUACCAUCAGCAGUGCCCAGAUGGGAUUAGCUUGUUGGUGGGGUAACGGCUCACAAAGACGACGAUCCCUUGCUGGUCUGAGAGGAUGAAAAGCGACAUGGGAACUGAGACACGGGCCAGACUCCUACGGGAGGCAGCAGUGGGGAAUAUUGCACAAUGGGCGCAAGCCUGAUGCAGCCAUGCCGCGUGUAUGAAGAAGGCCUUCGUGUUGUAAAGUACUUUCAGCGGGGAGGCGUUACCCGCAGAAGAAGCACCGGCUAACUCCGUGCCAGCAGCCGCGGUAAUAC